GGGGGCGUAGCUUAGCCUGGAUAAAAGCGCCACUCUGUCACAGUGGAGAACGUGGGUUCAAAUCCCAUCGCCCCCG
RNAcentral lists this transfer RNA (76 nucleotides) under Candidatus Nealsoniibacteriota bacterium. RNAcentral describes it as "Candidatus Nealsonbacteria bacterium tRNA-Asp". It matches the Rfam family "tRNA". From Rfam's summary of the family: Transfer RNA (tRNA) molecules are approximately 80 nucleotides in length. The record is from RNAcentral. Lineage: Bacteria; Candidatus Nealsoniibacteriota.